Molecule: ribosomal RNA, 497 nt
Filed under: uncultured bacterium
Lineage: Bacteria
Description: partial 16S ribosomal RNA
Rfam family: Bacterial small subunit ribosomal RNA
Source: RNAcentral
GAUGAACGCUGGCGGCGUGCCUAAUACAUGCAAGUCGAGCGAACAGAUGAUGAGCUUGCUCCUCUGACGUUAGCGGCGGACGGGUGAGUAACACGUUGAUAACCUACCUAUAAUACUGGGAUAACUUCGGGCAACCGCAGCUAAUACCGGAUAAUAUAUUGUACCGCAUGGUUCAUUAGUGAUUUACGCUUUUGCUGUCACUUAUAGAUGGUUCCGCGCCGCAUUAGCUAGUUGGUAAGGUAACGGCUUACCAAGGCAACGAUGCGUAGCCGACCUGAGAGGGUGAUCGGCCACACGGGAACGGAGACACGGACCAGACGACUACGGGAGGCAGCAGUAGGGAAUCGUCCGCAAUGGGCGAAAGCCUGACGGAGCAACGCCGCGUGAGUGAUGAAGGUCUUCGGAUCGUAAAACUCUGUUAUUAGGGAAGAACAAAUGUGGAAGUAACUAUGCACGGCGUGACGGUAACUAAUCAGAAAGCCACGGCUAACUACGUG